Long non-coding RNA from Suricata suricatta (meerkat), 554 nucleotides. RefSeq lists it as uncharacterized. NCBI's taxonomy places the organism in Eukaryota, Metazoa, Chordata, Mammalia, Carnivora, Herpestidae. The record is from RefSeq and is a predicted model, not a curated record. The transcript has 2 exons.
UCACGCUCAUGUUUAACUUUCCAGACACCGUGUGGGGUAGGGACCACCCUAUUCUCUGCGUCCCCCUUUAUGGGGCCCCACCGUGCCAGGCACCGUGCUAGCCUAAGGGGAGACGGAUGCCAAGAGGUGGCCUCGCUGCCGUCAUGACACUGUGUAAGAAGGACGCACAAACAGCGGAAUGCACAACCCAGAAGCAAGAGGGGUUCAGAGCGGGAGGCCCUUUGUCCAGCCAGGGCCCAGCGGCGUCCUGAUGCGCGAGCAAGGCCAGCAAGCCCCUCCUGGGAAGGAGAGCCUAUCAGGAAAAUCAAUCCACAAAUACGUUCUCAGUUGCUCUGAUGUGCUGGAACCUUCCGUGGAUUCUGCUGGAGAAAACUGGCAAGAUCCUUGGCCCCCAGGCAUGAACAAACUAAUAAAGGAGUGAGGCCGACUUUGCCCUCCCGGCCUGAGUGGGGAUGGUUAGAAUGUCUCCAUUUGACCCGAGAAGGUUUGAGGCCGAGAGUGGAGUGAUUUAGCCCUCAGGCUGGGAAGUCCAAUAAAACUGCAUUUGAACUUGA